This 1245-nucleotide long non-coding RNA is filed under the name Numida meleagris (helmeted guineafowl). RNAcentral describes it as "lncRNA (ENSNMEG00000000151.1)". The record is from RNAcentral. Lineage: Eukaryota; Metazoa; Chordata; Aves; Galliformes; Numididae.
UCCCCCAAAAUACCAAGAGUUCCCCCAAAACCCAACAUGGCUCCCCCAAAAUACCAGGAGUUCCCCCAAAAUGCCAACACAUUUCCCAUAAUCCAACAUGGCUCCCCCAAAGCCUAAUAUGGCUCCCCCAAAACACCAAGACCCCCCCCAAAACCCAACAUGGCUCCAUCAAAACAGCACAAGACCCCCGAAAACCCAACGUGGUUCCCCCAAAACACCAAGAGCUCCCCCAAAACCCAACAUGGUUCCCCCAAAAUGCCAAGAGUUCCCCCAAAACGCCAACAUGGUUCCCCCAAAACACAAAGAGCCCCCACAAAACCCAACAUGGUUCCCCCAAAACCAACAUGGUUCCCCCAAAAUACCAAGAGUUCCCCAAAACACCAACACAUUUUCCAUAAUCCAACAUGGCUCCACCCAAACCCAACACGGUUCCCCCAAAACACCAAGAGUUCCCCCAAAAUCCAACAUGGCUCCCACCAAAACCCAACGUGGUUCCCCCAAAAUACCAAGAGCUCCCCCAAAACAUCAAGAGUUCCCCCAAAAUGCCAACAUGGUUCCCCCAAAAUACCAAGAGCUCCACGAAAACCCAACAUGGUUCCCCCAAAACACCAAGAGUUCCCCCAAAAUACCAAGAGUUCCCCCAAAACCCAACAUGGCUCCCCCAAAACACCAAGAGCUCCCUCAAAACCCAACAUGGUUCCCCCAAAACCCAACAUGGCUCCCCAAAAACCCAACACGGUUCCCCCAAAACCCAACACGGUUCCCCCAAAACACCAACACAUUUCCCAUAAUCCAACAUGGUUCCCCAAAAACCCAACAUGGCUCGAUCAAAACAGCACGAGCUCCUCAAAAAUCCAACAUGGUUCCCCCAAAACCCAACAUGGUUACUCCAAAAACCAAUGUGGCUCCCCCAAAACACCAAGAGUUCCCCCAAAACGCCAACACAUUUCCCAUAAUCCAACAUGGCUCCCCCAAAACACCAAGAGCCCCCCCAAAACCCAACAUGGUUCCCCCAAAACCCAACAUGGCUCCCCCAAAAUACCAAGAGCUCCCCCAAAACAUCAAGAGUUUCCUCAAAACACCAAGAGUUCCCCCAAAACGCCAGCACAUUUCCCAUAAUCCAACAUGGCUCCCCCAAAACCCAACAUGGUUCCCUAAAAAGCCAAGAGUUUCCCCCAAAACAGCCGCGUUUCCCCCUAAAACACAGCACAUCUGGCCCAAAAGCGCCCUCUUUUGCCCCAAAAU